GGUGUAGCGUUGAAAUGCGUAGAGAUCUGGAGGAAUACCGAUGGCGAAGGCAGCCAUCUGGCCUAAUAUCUGACGCUGAGGUACGAAAGCAUGGGGAGCAAAACAGGAUUAGAUACCCUGGUAGUCCAUGCCGUAAAACGAUGUCUACUAGCCGUUGGGGCCCUUGAGGCGUGGCUUCCGGASUAACGCGUUAAGUCGACCGCCUGGGAGUACGCCGCAAGGUUAAAACUCAAAUGAAUUGACGGGGGCCCGCACAAGCGG
RNAcentral lists this ribosomal RNA (261 nucleotides) under uncultured bacterium. RNAcentral describes it as "partial 16S ribosomal RNA". It matches the Rfam family "Bacterial small subunit ribosomal RNA", at positions 672 to 932 of the family's 1533-position model. The record is from RNAcentral.